UCUCCUUGUUGAGGAAGCUAUGGAACCCUACAAAAUUCAAGACAUGUUUUGAUAUUCAAACCAACCUUUCCUCUCAUAAUCAACAGUCAAAAACUUUUCUUCUUAAUCCUUUUUCCAACAUCUUCUUCCCUAUAAUUUUCAAUCUUGGAGGUCCAUUUGGUUCAUGGAUAUUGAUCUCCUAAGUCACUUGUGGGGCUUCUUCAGCUAAAAAAGGACGAGCCCUGUUGGAGGUUAAUCCCACAAACAAGCAAUCCACCAUGAAAAUUCAUCAAGAUCAAACUCAUUUUAUCCCCACUACUACUACUACCUCUACUGCUAGUACUCCUGCAAGAGCUGCAACUGGAAGUGAUGUUCCUACUGUUACUGCUAGUAAAGAUCGACAAUUUCGGAUGGCUGCUCAUAAUGUUCCAAGCGGACCAAAUCCUGAGUCCAACAAAUGAUGAAUAAGGACUACAUAUUCGCUGCAUGCAGAUCUUCAUCACCAUAUUAUAAGUAUGGAUAUCCCACUACUCCUUAUCUAUUAAUGCUACAAAAGGUGUUGUUAUCAAAAUUAAUAUGUUUAUUAGGCUUUUUCCUUGCUUUUUCUUUCUUCAUGUUUCAUUUCCAGUGUAAAUAAAUAAAGGGAACCUUGCUAAUACUAAUAGAUGCAAUUAUGAAUGUAUGUCUCAUACUCUGCACAUUGAUGAUGAUUAUUUCUA
Long non-coding RNA from Coffea eugenioides, 698 nucleotides. RefSeq lists it as uncharacterized. NCBI's taxonomy places the organism in Eukaryota, Viridiplantae, Streptophyta, Magnoliopsida, Gentianales, Rubiaceae. The transcript is spliced from 2 exons. The record is from RefSeq and is a predicted model, not a curated record.